RNAcentral lists this ribosomal RNA (484 nucleotides) under uncultured bacterium. Its description in RNAcentral is "partial 16S ribosomal RNA". It matches the Rfam family "Bacterial small subunit ribosomal RNA", at positions 29 to 507 of the family's 1533-position model. The record is from RNAcentral.
AUUGAACGCUGGCGGCAGGCCUAACACAUGCAAGUCGAGCGGAUGAAGGGAGCUUGCUCCUGGAUUCAGCGGCGGACGGGUGAGUAAUGCCUAGGAAUCUGCCUGGUAGUGGGGGAUAACGUCCGGAAACGGGCGCCAAUACCGCAUACGUCCUGAGGGAGAAAGUGGGGGAUCUUCGGACCUCACGCUAUCAGAUGAGCCUAGGUCGGAUUAGCUAGUUGGUGGGGUAAAGGCCUACCAAGGCGGCGAUCCGUAACUGGUCUGAGAGGAUGAUCAGUCACACUGGGAGUGAGAGACGGUCUAGAGACUUAGGGGCGGCCCAGGUGGGGAAUAGUGGAAGAUGGGGGGAAGACUGAUCAAGCCAUGCAGGGCGUGUGCAGAAGGGCUUCGGAGUGUAAAGCACCUUACGGGGGGGGGAAGGGUAGUAAGUUAAUCCAUGGCUGUUUUGACGUUACCAAGAGAAUAAGCACCGGCUAACUUCGUG